AUUGAACGCUGGCGGCAGGCCUAACACAUGCAAGUCGAGCGGAUGAAGGGAGCUUGCUCCUGGAUUCAGCGGCGGACGGGUGAGUAAUGCCUAGGAAUCUGCCUGGUAGUGGGGGAUAACGUCCGGAAACGGGCGCUAAUACCGCAUACGUCCUGAGGGAGAAAGGGGGGGAUCUUCGGACCUCACGCUAUCAGAUGAGCCUAGGGCGCAUUAGCUAGUUGGUGGGGUAAAGGCCUACCAAGGCGACGAUCCGUAACUGAGCUGAGAGGAGGACCAGCCACACUGGAACUGAGACACGGUCGCGACUCCUGCGGGAGGCGGCAGUGGGGAAUCUUGCACGAUGGUCGAAAACCUGACGGCGCAGCGCCGCGUGAGUGAGGAAGGUCUUCGGAUCUUGAAACUCUUUUAUUAGGAAAGAACAAAAGUGUCCGGAACCCUGCCCGCCUGGACGGUACCUAAUAAGAAAGCCACGGCUAACUACGUG
This 484-nucleotide ribosomal RNA is filed under the name uncultured bacterium. Its description in RNAcentral is "partial 16S ribosomal RNA". It matches the Rfam family "Bacterial small subunit ribosomal RNA", at positions 29 to 507 of the family's 1533-position model. The record is from RNAcentral.